AGCAGCCGCGGUAAUUCCAGCUCCAAUAGCGUAUAUUAAAGUUGUUGCAGUUAAAAAGCUCGUAGUUGAAUUUCGGGGUUAGUAGGUUGGUCAUGCCUCUGGUAUGUACCGGUCUCACUGAUUCCUCCUUCCUGAUGAGCCGUAAUGCCAUUAAUUUGGUGUUGCGGGGAAUUUGGACUGUUACUUUGAAAAAUUAGAGUGUUUAAAGCAAGCUAACGCUUGAAUACAUUAGCAUGGAAUAAUGAAAUAGGACGUUCGAUCCUAUUUUGUUGGUUUCUAGGAUUGACGUAAUGAUUAAUAGGGAUAGUUGGGGGCAUUAGUAUUCAAUUGUCAGAGGUGAAAUUCUUGGAUUUAUUGAAGACUAACUACUGCGAAAGCAUUUGCCAAGGAUGUUUUCAUUAAUCAAGAACGAAAGUUAGGGGAUCGAAGACGAUCAGAUACCGUCGUAGUCUUAACCAUAAACUAUGCCGACUAGGGAUCGGAUGAUGUUAAUUUUUUAAUGUACUCAUUCGGCGCCUUA
Molecule: unclassified non-coding RNA, 520 nt
Filed under: uncultured Glomus
Lineage: Eukaryota; Fungi; Glomeromycota; Glomeromycetes; Glomerales; Glomeraceae
Description: SSU rRNA
Rfam family: Eukaryotic small subunit ribosomal RNA
Source: RNAcentral